Molecule: ribosomal RNA, 1370 nt
Filed under: Salmonella enterica subsp. enterica serovar Enteritidis
Lineage: Bacteria; Pseudomonadati; Pseudomonadota; Gammaproteobacteria; Enterobacterales; Enterobacteriaceae
Description: partial 23S ribosomal RNA
Rfam family: Bacterial large subunit ribosomal RNA
Source: RNAcentral
GUGUGUUCCAGGUAAAUCCGGUUCACUUUAACACUGAGGCGUGACGACGAGGCACUACGGUGCUGAAGCAACAAAUGCCCUGCUUCCAGGAAAAGCCUCUAAGCAUCAGGUAACAUCAAAUCGUACCCCAAACCGACACAGGUGGUCAGGUAGAGAAUACCAAGGCGCUUGAGAGAACUCGGGUGAAGGAACUAGGCAAAAUGGUGCCGUAACUUCGGGAGAAGGCACGCUGACACGUAGGUGAAGUGAUUUACUCAUGGAGCUGAAGUCAGUCGAAGAUACCAGCUGGCUGCAACUGUUUAUUAAAAACACAGCACUGUGCAAACACGAAAGUGGACGUAUACGGUGUGACGCCUGCCCGGUGCCGGAAGGUUAAUUGAUGGGGUCAGCGCAAGCGAAGCUCCUGAUCGAAGCCCCGGUAAACGGCGGCCGUAACUAUAACGGUCCUAAGGUAGCGAAAUUCCUUGUCGGGUAAGUUCCGACCUGCACGAAUGGCGUAAUGAUGGCCAGGCUGUCUCCACCCGAGACUCAGUGAAAUUGAACUCGCUGUGAAGAUGCAGUGUACCCGCGGCAAGACGGAAAGACCCCGUGAACCUUUACUAUAGCUUGACACUGAACAUUGAGCCUUGAUGUGUAGGAUAGGUGGGAGGCUUUGAAGUGUGGACGCCAGUCUGCAUGGAGCCGACCUUGAAAUACCACCCUUUAAUGUUUGAUGUUCUAACGUGGACCCGUUACCCGGGUUGCGGACAGUGUCUGGUGGGUAGUUUGACUGGGGCGGUCUCCUCCUAAAGAGUAACGGAGGAGCACGAAGGUUGGCUAAUCCUGGUCGGACAUCAGGAGGUUAGUGCAAUGGCAUAAGCCAGCUUGACUGCGAGCGUGACGGCGCGAGCAGGUGCGAAAGCAGGUCAUAGUGAUCCGGUGGUUCUGAAUGGAAGGGCCAUCGCUCAACGGAUAAAAGGUACUCCGGGGAUAACAGGCUGAUACCGCCCAAGAGUUCAUAUCGACGGCGGUGUUUGGCACCUCGAUGUCGGCUCAUCACAUCCUGGGGCUGAAGUAGGUCCCAAGGGUAUGGCUGUUCGCCAUUUAAAGUGGUACGCGAGCUGGGUUUAGAACGUCGUGAGACAGUUCGGUCCCUAUCUGCCGUGGGCGCUGGAGAACUGAGGGGGGCUGCUCCUAGUACGAGAGGACCGGAGUGGACGCAUCACUGGUGUUCGGGUUGUCAUGCCAAUGGCACUGCCCGGUAGCUAAAUGCGGAAGAGAUAAGUGCUGAAAGCAUCUAAGCACGAAACUUGCCCCGAGAUGAGUUCUCCCUGAGACUUAAAGUCUCCUGAAGGAACGUUGAAGACGACGACGUUGAUAGGCCGGGUGUG